RNAcentral lists this ribosomal RNA (253 nucleotides) under uncultured bacterium. RNAcentral describes it as "partial 16S ribosomal RNA". It matches the Rfam family "Bacterial small subunit ribosomal RNA", at positions 524 to 776 of the family's 1533-position model. The record is from RNAcentral.
UACAGAGGGUGCAAGCGUUGUUCGGAAUUAUUGGGCGUAAAGCGCGUGCAGGCGGCAUGGCAAGUCGGGUGUGAAAGCCCUCAGCUCAACUGAGGAAGUGCGCCCGAAACUGCUUUGCUUGAGUGCUGGAGAGGGUCGCGGAAUUCCCCAAGUAGAGGUGAAAUUCGUAGAUAUGGGGAGGAACACCGGUGGCGAAGGCGGCGACCUGGACAGUAACUGACGCUGAGACGCGAAAGCGUGGGUAGCAAACAGG